RNAcentral lists this long non-coding RNA (231 nucleotides) under Medicago truncatula (barrel medic). RNAcentral describes it as "lncRNA gene32897". The record is from RNAcentral. Lineage: Eukaryota; Viridiplantae; Streptophyta; Magnoliopsida; Fabales; Fabaceae.
AUGGAGAAUAAGUAUAGAAUUUAUACCUCGGGUGAAGGGGCAAAUAGCUUCCAUUUUGAUCUAGUUCGGUCGAUUGCUGUGAAGAAUCAUGGGAUGAUAGGGCCAUAGAUCAUACUCACAGGAGAGAAAGAGAGCAUAGGAAUACACAUUGAGAUAAAAGCUCAUUAAGGAAUCAUAUAUUAUAGAUUGAUAAAAGAUAUUGAAUUUUGUACACAAUAAUGUUAGUGUUAU